CAGCGCCACGAGUGGGGAUCCUGUUUAUUUGGCCUAAAGCGUCCGUAGCUGGUUUAGUAAAUCUCUUGUGAAAUCGUUAGGCUUAACUUAACGGCAUGCAGGAGAGACUGCUAGACUAGGGACCGGGAGGAGUCAGAGGUAUGUUGGGGGGAGCGGUAAAAUGCUAUAAGCCUCAGUAGACCACCUAUGGCGAGGGCAUCUGACUAGAACGGGUCCGACAGUGAGGGACGAAAGCCAGGGGAGCAAACCGGAUUAGAUACCCGAGUAGUCC
Molecule: ribosomal RNA, 271 nt
Filed under: uncultured archaeon
Lineage: Archaea
Description: partial 16S ribosomal RNA
Rfam family: Archaeal small subunit ribosomal RNA
Source: RNAcentral